RNAcentral lists this transfer RNA (68 nucleotides) under Ludioschema sulcicolle. RNAcentral describes it as "tRNA-Ser". Lineage: Eukaryota; Metazoa; Arthropoda; Insecta; Coleoptera; Elateridae. The record is from RNAcentral.
AGUUAAUGAACUUGUAUAAGUAUAUAUUUUGAAAAUAUAAAAAAGGAAUUUCAACUUCCUAUUGACUU